CAGUCGCCGCGGGAAUACGUAGGUGGCUAGCGUUGCUCGGAAUUACUGGGCGUAAAGGGAGCGUAGGCGGAUCGUUUAGUCAGGGGUGAAAUCCCGGGGCUCAACCUCGGAACUGCCUUUGAUACUGGCGAUCUUGAGUAUGGGAGAGGUGUGUGGAACUCCGAGUGUAGAGGUGAAAUUCGUAGAUAUUCGGAAGAACACCAGUGGCGAAGGCGACACACUGGCCCAUUACUGACGCUGAGGCUCGAAAGCGUGGGGAGCAAACAGGAUUAGAUACCCCAGUAGUCCCUGUCUCUUAUAC
RNAcentral lists this ribosomal RNA (301 nucleotides) under uncultured bacterium. Its description in RNAcentral is "partial 16S ribosomal RNA". It matches the Rfam family "Bacterial small subunit ribosomal RNA", at positions 509 to 807 of the family's 1533-position model. The record is from RNAcentral.